CUCGGUGGCAAUAGCGAAGAGGAAACACCCGUUCCCAUCCCGAACACGGAAGUUAAGGUCUUCAGCGCCGAUGGUACUGCGCGGGGGACCGCGUGGGAGAGUAGGUCGCCGCCGGGA
Molecule: ribosomal RNA, 117 nt
Filed under: Deltaproteobacteria bacterium
Lineage: Bacteria; Pseudomonadati; Myxococcota; Myxococcia
Source: RNAcentral